AUACUCAUGUUCCUUACUUCCUUCCAUGUUACCUUUUUGAACAAAAGGAGUAGGGUUAAACAAAAAUGUAAGAUCCUUACAUUGGGAGGAAGAUCAUGGAUGCAAUCUUAAUUGCCACUGAGUGCAGGGGAAACAGACGAAGAAGCCUAAAUCCAGGUAUCUUAUUCAAACUACAUAUCCACUAAACAUAUAUCACUUGAACUGGAGCUCCUUCAUCCAUAUGCUUCAAAGAAUGGGGUUUGGCACAAGAUGGAUUGUGUGGACUAAACAUCUAAGUUGCUCAGACUCGGGUGCGG
RNAcentral lists this unclassified non-coding RNA (296 nucleotides) under Hevea brasiliensis (rubber tree). The record is from RNAcentral. Lineage: Eukaryota; Viridiplantae; Streptophyta; Magnoliopsida; Malpighiales; Euphorbiaceae.